Molecule: ribosomal RNA, 556 nt
Filed under: Cytospora sorbi
Lineage: Eukaryota; Fungi; Ascomycota; Sordariomycetes; Diaporthales; Cytosporaceae
Description: eukaryotic LSU rRNA
Rfam family: Eukaryotic large subunit ribosomal RNA
Source: RNAcentral
AUGCUAGUACGGCGAGUGAGCGGCAACAGCUCAAAUUUGAAAGCUGGCUCCGGCCCGCAUUGUAAUUUGCAGAGGAUGCUUUUGGCGAGGUGCCUUCCGAGUUCCCUGGAACGGGACGCCAUAGAGGGUGAGAGCCCCGUAUGGAUGGACACCAAACCUGUGUAAAGCUCCUUCAACGAGUCGAGUAGUUUGGGAAUGCUGCUCUAAAUGGGAGGUAAAUCUCUUCUAAAGCUAAAUACCGGCCAGAGACCGAUAGCGCACAAGUAGAGUGAUCGAAAGAUGAAAAGCACCUUGAAAAGGGGGUUAAACAGUACGUGAAAUUGUUGAAAGGGAAGCGCUUGUGACCAGACUUGCGCCGGGCAGCUCAUCAGGGGUUCUCCCCUGUGCACUCUGCCCGGCUCAGGCCAGCAUCGGUUCUCGUGGGAGGAUAAGAACAGUGGGAACGUGGCCCCCUCUCGGGGGGGUGUUAUAGCCCAUUGUACGAUACUCUCGUGGGGACCGAGGUUCGCGCUCCGCAAGGAUGCUGGCGUAAUGGUCAUCAGCGACCCGUCUUACA